CGCAAAUGGAGAUUGGUCGGCAAAUGUGCUAUUGUGAGUUUGCCUGAGGUUGCUGGGGACACAUUUGGGGCACUGGCUAGUUUGACUGGCUUUUCUGUGCCUGGAGGACAAAGGGUCUUUUUUCCCCACGUCUUGGCUUCCAGGCACAGAGGCUCCUGUGAUGAAGACCCCCUGUCGUUCUGUGCGGGAGACCCCUCGUCUGAGACAGAGGAACAAUUACUCUUGUCUUCUCUGGAUUUCUUAUUAUUCUAAGUGGUUCCUGAGUGGCUGAUAUUAGCG
Molecule: non-coding RNA, 279 nt
Organism: Pelobates cultripes (western spadefoot toad)
Lineage: Eukaryota; Metazoa; Chordata; Amphibia; Anura; Pelobatidae
Source: the annotation of a GenBank genome assembly